CAAACAUAUAUAUAUAUAUAUAUAUAUUCUGUGUGUAUGUGUGUGUACAUAUAUAUAUUCUGUAUAUAUAUAUAUAUUUUGUGUGUGUGUGUGUGUGUGUAUUCUGUAGUCUACUGCCCAUUAGGUGAAGAAAACAUGGUCACUGUCUCAUGUUUAAAAUAAGAGAAAAAAAAUUACUUCUCCUUCGAAUACAUUUGUCAACGCUCCAAAGAAAUAAACAAUAUGUGAAUAGUUCAGUACAAUUAUAUAUUUACAAAGCAUAGGGGGUUUAGUCUAACAUUUUCCCACCUGAAUAAACUGAGCUUAAGUAUCUCCGACAAUCAAAAGGCAAUACUGCGUUCUUCCCAAUAUGCCAUGUCACCUUUGUAGCACUCACACACUUGCAGGGAAGGGACUCGGGGUUGGGGGUGGUUCUGAUGUAGAAAUUGCAGAUGGAGAGCUGGGCUCUGGGGAUGGAAAUGGAGAGGAGCGAAAAAGAGCCUGGAGAAAAGGCUGUCAUAUUUGCUCAGAAGAACCGCCAAAUCAGAGAGCACAGAAGAUUUCAUUGGGGGAGAGCCUUCAACAGCAACUAAUCCUGUCAUACUGAAAGAAAAUUGUAAAUGUUCUCUCCAGAAACUGUCCGUCCAUUGCAGCUAAUCGAACACACACGCACGAAUACAGACACGCUCUCCUGCUGUACUAAAGGCGCCCGGGCGCAAAGACCUACGGAGCGCGCGCGGGCGCACACACACACACACACACUCACACGCUCCAGGCUGCCGGUUGGCCAGAGCCUGGCAAUCGCAGAUUUCACCAGGAAAUCGCCGAGAUACCGGAAUAGGUGUUGCCUCCCCAAAACUAAUUCCUACUUCCCCAAGCACUUUGGGGAAGAAAUGAAUCCAACCCAGCUCGCCGAGGCAUCCAGGUCUCCGUUCUAUUUUGGUCUCCAGGCUCUUCGUGAAAGCCAGAUCAAGGGAGAAAGAGAACCGGCGGCUGGCCUCGGACUCUAAGCGGUGCGCAGCUCCAGCCCGGGCGGAUCGGCCCUGAACCCACAAACGGCUCCUCGCUCCUUCAAGCCUCCACCACCUCGCAGCCGGGGAGGCAACUGGAGCGAAACCAGCGACAGGUAAGGGCCCCGCGCUGUGCAGCUCUCCGCUUACCCACUCCGAGGACCCUGGCACCAGGGGGUCUCUCCCUUCAUAUCCCCCCAAACCGGACGCUCAGGGGUCGGGGCUUGGGGGAAUUGGAGGGAGGUCCUCCCCACGUGCAGAUUCUCAAACGGAAACUUUGGAUCCUGGGGCUUGGAGGGUUGGGGGCAGUGAUGGCGGGUAUGGAAGGAAGGGGCAAAUGAGGCACAGCGCGGGGCGGGGUACCCCUACGAUUCCGAGGGUCACUGAGUCCAGCCGAAUGUGGCGAAAACAGCCUCGGAGCCGCGCUGUCCCGGCAUCGUUCCCAACAGCCCCCCAUUCCCUCUACUGUUGCCGCCCCCCCUCCCGCCACCCACUCCAGAUGCGGCCAUGGACAAGACAAGGAGAGCUUCGUCCCUCCCGCCCCUCGGGUUCCUUCCUGCUGGGGUCUGACCGCGUCUUCUGUGCGUGUGGGAUGGAGGCCCGGCUCGCCCGGGCUCCAGGCUGUCCCCCGGCUCCGCUUUCGAAGCAGCCCUCGGGGGCUGGAGAGGUUUCCCAUUGCGGUCUCCGGGUCAUGGCCAAGGAGGAGAAGCAUUAAGAAUGGGGGAAAGGGUCCCAAGACAAAGGAGAGGGAAGCAUUCUGCAAUCCUAUUCUAUUUUAGCCCCUCGCAGGAGCUAGACUGUCCGCCGUGGCUAGGGGACAAGGUCUCAGCCCGAAGCUCAUGAGGUACCAGACUGUGCCUGGGCUUUGCCACCUAACUCACAACGGGUCCUGAACCGCCCCGGUAGUCCCCGGGGUCGUAGAUUGGGGACCGCUGUACGCCUCCCCCCUCCCCCCAAGAAUGUCCCUUGCAGUCCGCACCUGAGGUCCCAGGCAAUCGCCGCUAACUUGUAGCUCUCGGACCCGGACAGGUGAGGUGCAUGCCUGGUACCGGUAGACGCGCAGAAAUUCCACCUAUGCGCGCUGCCGGGCGCCCCUGGGGCCCCUCACGGGGUAAGUAGAGACUCCUCCGGGAGAGGUGAAAAUUCCCCAGCAUUAAGAACACACACGGCGGCACACCCUUUGCCUCCGUCGGCCUCCAGCACCCGCAUCCCUUUCUCUAUCUUCCUGCUCAUCGCCGACCUCGAGGUUGCCCCGAGACACAAAAUUGUCCCAGGCAGAGUCCACCGACCCGCCAAUCCCUGGCGAUGUUGUCAAGGCUCUUGCAUAUACGGAAAUACCAGCAGGGAGGGUCGCCAGGGGCAGAGAGGCUGGAGGAGAACAGAGAAUCGGAGGUAAACGCGUAAUGCCAGCAGAACUGUCGGUGGACAUUUCACCCAGACUGCCCUCCCACAUCCUUAGGUCAGUUCACCGCCACAGCACGUCUGUGACGGCGGCCACCCAGGGCUCCAAGUCUUCCAGCCCCGGCGCCGCGAGCCAAGAAGAAUGCCGCGCCUCCCACUCCUCAAGCUCCGGAAUCCCCCACAUUGACUUUCUAUUUCCCUUUCUUCUUUUCUUUUUUGUUUGUUUUGUUUUUCCUGCUCUUUUCUUAGCGCUGGGUGGCAGUGGGUAUGUGGCAGCCGUGUGAUUUGCCCUUCCCCUAGUACACGCAGCCAGAGACACAAGCACACAACGACCAGUCCCCACGCUCUGCCACACGCCCUCCAGAGCUCUGGCGCGCAGCCCCUGCUCCACAGCUCGGGGCGCCUGCAGCCACCGCCAGGGUCAUGGCCAUGGCCCAAGCAGGGCUCAGAGGGUGGAGAGGGGAGUCAACCUAGACUCCAGAGAGAAACCUUGGGACAACCCUAAAGGCC
Long non-coding RNA from Macaca mulatta (Rhesus monkey), 2900 nucleotides. NCBI's taxonomy places the organism in Eukaryota, Metazoa, Chordata, Mammalia, Primates, Cercopithecidae. The record is from Ensembl.